Molecule: ribosomal RNA, 236 nt
Filed under: uncultured bacterium
Lineage: Bacteria
Description: partial 16S ribosomal RNA
Rfam family: Bacterial small subunit ribosomal RNA
Source: RNAcentral
AACACGUGGAUAAUCUACCCGACAAUCAGGGAUAACAUUCCGAAAGGAAUGCUAAUACCUAAUAAGCCCACGACGUCUUCGGACGAUGUGGGAAAAGGUGGGGACCUUCGGGCCUGCCGUUGUCGGAUGAGUCCGCGGCCCAUUAGCUAGUUGGUAGGGUAAUGGCCUACCAAGGCUACGAUGGGUAGCUGGUCUGAGAGGAUGAUCAGCCACACUGGAACUGAGACACGGUCCAG